GAUGAACGCUGGCGGCGUGCCUAAUACAUGCAAGUCGAGCGAACAGAUAAGGAGCUUGCUCCUUUGACGUUAGCGGCGGACGGGUGAGUAACACGUGGAUAACCUACCUAUAAGACUGGGAUAACUUCGGGAAACCGGAGCUAAUACCGGAUAACAUAUUGAACCGCAUGGUUCAAUAGUGAAAGGCGGCUUUGCUGUCACUUAUAGAUGGAUCCGCGCCGUAUUAGCUAGUUGGUAAGGUAACGGCUUACCAAGGCAACGAUACGUAGCCGACCUGAGAGGGUGAUCGGCCACACUGGAACUGAGACACGGUCCAGACUCCUACGGGAGGCAGCAGUAGGGAAUCUUCCGCAAUGGGCGAAAGCCUGACGGAGCAACGCCGCGUGAGUGAUGAAGGUCUUCGGAUCGUAAAACUCUGCUAUCAGGGAAGAACAAAUGUGUAAGUAACUGUGCACGUCUUGACGGUACCUGAUCAGAAAGCCACGGCUAACUACGUGCCAGCAGCCGCGGUAAUACGUAGGUGGCAAGCGUUAUCCGGAAUUAUUGGGCGUAAAGCGCGCGUAGGCGGUUUUUUAGUCUGAUGUGAAAGCCCACGGCUCAACCGUGGAGGGUCAUUGGAAACUGGAAAACUUGAGUGCAGAAGAGGAAAGUGGAAUCCCAUGUGUAGCGGUGAAAUGCGCAGAGAUAUGGAGGAACACCAGUGGCGAAGGCGACUUUCUGGUCUGUAACUGACGCUGAUGUGCGAAAGCGUGGGGAUCAAACAGGAUUAGAUACCCUGGUAGUCCACGCCGUAAACGAUGAGUGCUAAGUGUUAGGGGGUUUCCGCCCCUUAGUGCUGCAGCUAACGCAUUAAGCACUCCGCCUGGGGAGUACGACCGCAAGGUUGAAACUCAAAGGAAUUGACGGGGACCCGCACAAGCGGUGGAGCAUGUGGUUUAAUUCGAAGCAACGCGAAGAACCUUACCAAAUCUUGACAUCCUUUGACCGCUCUAGAGAUAGAGUCUUCCCCUUCGGGGGACAAAGUGACAGGUGGUGCAUGGUUGUCGUCAGCUCGUGUCGUGAGAUGUUGGGUCAAGUCCCGCAACGAGCGCAACCCUUAAGCUUAGUUGCCAUCAUUAAGUUGGGCACUCUAAGUUGACUGCCGGUGACAAACCGGAGGAAGGUGGGGAUGACGUCAAAUCAUCAUGCCCCUUAUGAUUUGGGCUACACACGUGCUACAAUAGACAAUACAAAGGGCAGCUAAACCGCGAGGUCAAGCAAAUCCCAUAAAGUUGUUCUCAGUUCGGAUUGUAGUCUGCAACUCGACUACAUGAAGCUGGAAUCGCUAGUAAUCGUAGAUCAGCAUGCUACGGUGAAUACGUUCCCGGGUCU
Molecule: ribosomal RNA, 1371 nt
Filed under: uncultured bacterium
Lineage: Bacteria
Description: bacterial SSU rRNA
Rfam family: Bacterial small subunit ribosomal RNA
Source: RNAcentral